RNAcentral lists this long non-coding RNA (884 nucleotides) under Rattus norvegicus (Norway rat). RNAcentral's name for it is "long non-coding RNA NONRATT000048". The record is from RNAcentral. Lineage: Eukaryota; Metazoa; Chordata; Mammalia; Rodentia; Muridae.
GAUUUCAUUAUAAUUUGUUCUUUAACAAGUAACCAUGGUCUUUGGGGAACUUACUGUUUCUUGAAGAUUUUAAAACUUAAAUAAAAGUGGAGUCAGCCUUAGUUUCUGUAGCCCCGUCUAGAGUUAGUUUUGUCUCUGCAUAAAGCUCUUAGGCAGUGGCGAUCAUAGUGGCGAUCUCAGGCUUAGUCACUGAUGCUCUGGUCGUGUUUGUCCAGAGAACACCCCUACAUUAACCCUGUCACAGCUCCAUGUUGGUUUGCUCUGCUCAGAAUUGAACCAGUUCGGGGCUGGGGAUUUAGCUCAGUGGUAGAGCGCUUACCUAGGAAGCGCAAGGCCCUGGGUUCGGUCCCCAGCUCCGAAAAAAAAGAACCAAAAAAAAAAAAAAAGAAAAAAGAAUUGAACCAGUUCAAGCGUAGCAGCUCACCCAGCCCCAUUGCCUAAUGUGGCAUUUCCAAGGUUACUGCUGAUAAGGGCUGUCGAGGAUGAUAAGACUUCAAUAUACCCCGCCUUAGGUUUGGGUCAGAUGUCAAUACGGUUGCCUAAAGCUGGACUCCCUACGUUGAGUAGCAAAUUAGGUGGUGAAGUUAGGGACGCACACUGUGAGCCUCCAUUUGUGAAAUCACAUCCUUCUAAGUGUGACUGAACUCAGCUGAGUUUGUAAAGCAUGGAUUCCUCUCCUACAGGGAUUUGCCCUGAAUCCCUCAGGAAGAGUGUUCUUUGUCAGCCAGUCACCUCCUCAGCUGCUUUGAUUUCAGUGUGUAUGUCCAGAACUAGCUUAGCACAAACAAAACUAAUGCUAACAGUUAUUUCUGCUCUUCAACUGACUGAGAGUGAAAACUGCCCGUGUUAACACGGGCAAAGCCUGUCAGGCAGGAAGGAUUAGG